UGCAGUCGAACGGCAGCGCGGGCUUCGGCCUGGCGGCGAGUGGCGAACGGGUGAGUAAUGCAUCGGAACGUACCCAGUCGUGGGGGAUAACACAUCGAAAGAUGUGCUAAUACCGCAUACGUCCUGAGGGAGAAAGCGGGGGACCUUCGGGCCUCGCGCGAUUGGAGCGGCCGAUGUCAGAUUAGCUAGUAGGUGGGGUAAAGGCCCACCUAGGCGACGAUCUGUAGCGGGUCUGAGAGGAUGAUCCGCCACACUGGGACUGAGACACGGCCCAGACUCCUACGGGAGGCAGCAGUGGGGAAUUUUGGACAAUGGGGGCAACCCUGAUCCAGCCAUGCCGCGUGAGUGAAGAAGGCCUUCGGGUUGUAAAGCUCUUUCGGCCGGGAAGAAAUCGCACCUUUUAAUAGAGGGUGUGGAUGACGGUACCGGACUAAGAAGCACCGGCUAACUACGUGCCAGCAGCCGCGGUAAUACGUAGGGUGCGAGCGUUAAUCGGAAUUACUGGGCGUAAAGCGUGCGCAGGCGGUUUGCCAAGACAGGCGUGAAAUCCCCGGGCUUAACCUGGGAACUGCGCUUGUGACUGGCAGGCUAGAGUACGGCAGAGGGGGGUGGAAUUCCACGUGUAGCAGUGAAAUGCGUAGAGAUGUGGAGGAACACCGAUGGCGAAGGCAGCCCCCUGGGCCUGUACUGACGCUCAUGCACG
RNAcentral lists this ribosomal RNA (703 nucleotides) under uncultured bacterium. Its description in RNAcentral is "bacterial SSU rRNA". It matches the Rfam family "Bacterial small subunit ribosomal RNA", at positions 56 to 755 of the family's 1533-position model. The record is from RNAcentral.